Molecule: transfer RNA, 71 nt
Filed under: Megalops atlanticus (tarpon)
Lineage: Eukaryota; Metazoa; Chordata; Actinopteri; Elopiformes; Megalopidae
Rfam family: tRNA
About the family: Transfer RNA (tRNA) molecules are approximately 80 nucleotides in length.
Source: Rfam by way of RNAcentral
GAUCCUAUGGCUCAAUUGGCAGAGCAUGGCACUAGAGAUGCCAAGAUUGUGGGUUUGAUUCCCAGGGAACA